AGAGUUUGNNCAUGGCUCAGAUUGAACGUUNNNNNNAGGCCUCAUACAUGCAAGUCGAACGAGAAAGGUCCUUCGGGACUGAGUACAGUGGCGGACGGGUGAGUAAGGCGUAGGAAUCUACCUUGUAGUGGGGGACAACUCGGGGAAACUCGAGCUAAUACCGCAUAAUCUCCAAGGAGGAAAGCGGGGGAUCUUCGGACCUCGCGCUAUUAGAGGAGCCUACGUUGGAUUAGCUAGUUGGUGGGGUAAUGGCCCACCAAGGCGACGAUCCAUAGCUGGUCUGAGAGGACGAUCAGCCACACUGGAACUGAGACACGGUCCAGACAACUACGGUUGGCAGCAGUAGGGAAUAUUGCACAAUGGGCGAAAGCCUGAUGCAGCCAUGCCGCGUGUGUGAAGAAGGCUCUAGGGUUGUAAAGCACUUUCAGUGGUGAAGAAACACCGGUGUAUAAU
Molecule: ribosomal RNA, 453 nt
Filed under: uncultured bacterium
Lineage: Bacteria
Description: bacterial SSU rRNA
Rfam family: Bacterial small subunit ribosomal RNA
Source: RNAcentral